CGUUAGCGGCGGACGGGUGAGUAACACGUGGGUAACCUACCUAUAAGACUGGGAUAACUUCAGGAAACCGGAGCUAAUACCGGAUAAUAUUUCGAACCGCAUGGUUCGAUAGUGAAAGAUGGUUUUGCUAUCACUUAUAGAUGGACCUGCGCCGUAUUAGCUAGUUGGUAAGGUAACGGCUUACCAAGGCGACGAUACGUAGCCGACCUGAGAGGGUGAUCGGCCACACUGGAACUGAGACACGGUCCAGACUCCUACGGGAGGCAGCAGUC
This 272-nucleotide ribosomal RNA is filed under the name uncultured Staphylococcus sp. RNAcentral's name for it is "partial 16S ribosomal RNA". It matches the Rfam family "Bacterial small subunit ribosomal RNA", at positions 90 to 355 of the family's 1533-position model. The record is from RNAcentral. Lineage: Bacteria; Bacillati; Bacillota; Bacilli; Caryophanales; Staphylococcaceae.